CAGCACAAGGGAGUUUACUCCUGAGGUGGCGAGCGGCGGACGGGUGAGUAAUGCCUAGGGAUCUGCCCAGUCGAGGGGGAUAACAGUUGGAAACGACUGCUAAUACCGCAUACGCCCUACGGGGGAAAGAGGGGGACCUUCGGGCCUCUCGCGAUUGGAUGAACCUAGGUGGGAUUAGCUAGUUGGUGAGGUAAUGGCUCACCAAGGCGACGAUCCCUAGCUGUUCUGAGAGGAUGAUCAGCCACACUGGGACUGAGACACGGCCCAGACUCCUACGGGAGGCAGCAGUGGGGAAUAUUGCACAAUGGGGGAAACCCUGAUGCAGCCAUGCCGCGUGUGUGAAGAAGGCCUUCGGGUUGUAAAGCACUUUCAGUAGGGAGGAAAGGGUGAGUCUUAAUACGGCUCAUCUGUGACGUUACCUACAGAAGAAGGACCGGCUAACUCCGUGCCAGCAGCCGCGGUAAUACGGAGGGUCCGAGCGUUAAUCGGAAUUACUGGGCGUAAAGCGUGCGCAGGCGGUUUGUUAAGCGAGAUGUGAAAGCCCUGGGCUCAACCUAGGAAUAGCAUUUCGAACUGGCGAACUAGAGUCUUGUAGAGGGGGGUAGAAUUCCAGGUGUAGCGGUGAAAUGCGUAGAGAUCUGGAGGAAUACCGGUGGCGAAGG
RNAcentral lists this ribosomal RNA (662 nucleotides) under Shewanella sp. enrichment culture clone LY4. RNAcentral describes it as "bacterial SSU rRNA". It matches the Rfam family "Bacterial small subunit ribosomal RNA", at positions 67 to 721 of the family's 1533-position model. Lineage: Bacteria; Pseudomonadati; Pseudomonadota; Gammaproteobacteria; Alteromonadales; Shewanellaceae. The record is from RNAcentral.